CUGCCACUACAGAAGGGGAGCAGAGCCCACAGAAAUCUAGAGCUAAAGGGGCAUUUCUGGCCACCAUGAGCAAGAGGAGGACCAGCCCGGAAGUCUCUCCAAGAGCCCCAAAGUCCAGGAAUCCCCACCAAAGGAUUCAGAAACAGCGCCCACAGUCCGGGGCCCCUCUGAACGCGCCCCCACCCCGGAGUUCACCCCGAAGCGUGCAGCCGCUUCUGUGAAGAGGCCAGAGUUGAAG
Eubalaena glacialis (North Atlantic right whale) is the source of this 238-nucleotide long non-coding RNA. RefSeq lists it as uncharacterized. NCBI's taxonomy places the organism in Eukaryota, Metazoa, Chordata, Mammalia, Artiodactyla, Balaenidae. The record is from RefSeq and is a predicted model, not a curated record. The transcript has 3 exons.